UACGGAGGGUGCGAGCGUUGUCCGGAAUCACUGGGCGUAAAGGGCGCGUAGGCGGUUGGGGCAGUCUGGUGGUGAAAGCUCGUGGCUCAACUACGAGUCGGCCAUGGAUACGUCCUCGACUGGAGCACUGUAGAGGCAGGUGGAAUUCCGGGUGUAGCGGUGGAAUGCGUAGAGAUCCGGAAGACACCGGUGGCGAAGGCGGCCUGCUGGGCAGUGAGC
This 219-nucleotide ribosomal RNA is filed under the name uncultured bacterium. RNAcentral's name for it is "partial 16S ribosomal RNA". It matches the Rfam family "Bacterial small subunit ribosomal RNA", at positions 524 to 740 of the family's 1533-position model. The record is from RNAcentral.